UACGUAGGGUGCGAGCGUUGUCCGGAAUUAUUGGGCGUAAAGAGCUCGUAGGCGGUGUGCCGCGUCGGCCGUGAAAACCUGGGGCUUAACUCUGGGCGUGCGGUCGAUACGGGCAUCACUGGAGUUCGGCAGGGGAGACUGGAAUUCCUGGUGUAGCGGUGAAAUGCGCAGAUAUCAGGAGGAACACCGGUGGCGAAGGCGGGUCUCUGGGCCGAUACUGACGCUGAGGAGCGAAAGCAUGGGUAGCGAACAGG
This 254-nucleotide ribosomal RNA is filed under the name uncultured bacterium. RNAcentral describes it as "partial 16S ribosomal RNA". It matches the Rfam family "Bacterial small subunit ribosomal RNA", at positions 524 to 776 of the family's 1533-position model. The record is from RNAcentral.